Molecule: transfer RNA, 68 nt
Filed under: Coelorinchus multispinulosus (spearnose grenadier)
Lineage: Eukaryota; Metazoa; Chordata; Actinopteri; Gadiformes; Macrouridae
Description: tRNA-Cys
Source: RNAcentral
AAGUCUUGGGGUGUUACACGUCAGCUUGCAAAUCUGAAGAAGCAGGUGACUGCCUGCCGGGACUUUCC